This is a long non-coding RNA of Stegostoma tigrinum, 635 nucleotides long. RefSeq lists it as uncharacterized. The record is from RefSeq and is a predicted model, not a curated record. The transcript has 2 exons. Lineage: Eukaryota; Metazoa; Chordata; Chondrichthyes; Orectolobiformes; Stegostomatidae.
CAAAAGCAUAAACAAAGUGAUUCAGACCUACCCUGCAACCUGAGAUGGCAGAUAAAGAAAUGACAUAACCAAAUCUAUAGCCUGUAUGAAACAAGUAGAUUCCAGUCUCGUUGCUGGAUCGCUGGAACCCAUAUGAAGGCUUCAACUGUGAAUCAAGAGGCUCCUAAAUCAUGAGAAAAUUGCUUUGACACUGCUGGGCAAUUUGCAUUUGACGUUGGGCUGCGGCUGGUGCUUGUAGUGAAUAGACUGAAGGAGAAUGCAAAGCAUCUAAAUAUCAGCGUGCUUGCUCAUUGCUCAACCUGUUAAAUAUUCAUAGUCCAUGAUAUUUAAAAAAUGCCUUCAUGUUGCUGAUUGUUCGCUUGUUUUGCCAAAUUGAUAUAGGAACAAAUUCUAUUACAUGGACAUCAAACUGAGCAAUUUCUAUCAAUUUUAAAAUUGUUCCACACUGUUGAAGAUGUAAUGUUAUAAGCACAAUUCUUAAGUAUGUCGCUUGCAUUAUCUUCUGUGCUAUCAUGAAACUAUGCUGGGAAAUGCAGACAUACAUGGUUCUGCAUUGUAAACUGUGAUUCAUCAUAAUUAUUGAUGACUGGACUAUUGAAGAUUUAAAAUUUUCCAAAUAAAUAUGAAUAAUUUUA